AUUGAACGCUGGCGGCAGGCCUAACACAUGCAAGUCGAGCGGAUGCAGGGAGCUUGCUCCUGGUUUCAGCGGCGGACGGGUGGGUAAUGCCUAGGAAUCUGCCUGGUAGUGGGGGCUAACGUCCGGAAACGGGCGCUAAUACCGCAUACGUCCUGAGGGAGAAAGGGGGGGAUCUUCGGACCUCCCGCUAUCAGAUGAUCCUAGGUCGGAUUAGCUAGUUGGUGGGGUAAAGGCCUACCAAGGCGACGAUCCGUAACUGGUCUGAGAGGAUGAUCAGUCACACUGGAACUGAGACACGGUCCAGACUCCUACGGGAGGCAGCAGUGGGGAAUAUUGGACAAUGGGCGAAAGCCUGAUCCAGCCAUGCCGCGUGUGUGAAGAAGGUCUUCGGAUUGUAAAGCACUUUUAGUUGGGAGGAAGGGCAGUAAGUUAAUACCUUGCUGUUUUGACGUUACCAACAGAAUAAGCACCGGCUAACUUCGUG
Molecule: ribosomal RNA, 484 nt
Filed under: uncultured bacterium
Lineage: Bacteria
Description: partial 16S ribosomal RNA
Rfam family: Bacterial small subunit ribosomal RNA
Source: RNAcentral